UACGAAGGGGGCUAGCGUUGCUUGGAAUCACUGGGCGUAAAGGGUGCGUAGGCGGGUCUUUAAGUCAGAGGUGAAAUCCCAAGGCUCAACCUUGGAACUGCCUUUGAUACUGGGGAUCUUGAGUCCGGGAGAGGUGAGUGGAACUGCGAGUGUAGAGGUGAAAUUCGUAGAUAUUCGGAAGAACACCAGUGGCGAAGGCGGCUCACUGGCCCGUUACCGACGCUCAGGCGCGACAGCGUGGGGAGCAAACAGG
Molecule: ribosomal RNA, 253 nt
Filed under: uncultured bacterium
Lineage: Bacteria
Description: partial 16S ribosomal RNA
Rfam family: Bacterial small subunit ribosomal RNA
Source: RNAcentral